GACGAACGCUGGCGGCGUGCCUAAUACAUGCAGGUAGAACGCACAGUUUAUACCGUAGCUUGCUACACCAUAAACUGUGAGUUGCGAACGGGUGAGUAACUCGUAGGUAACCUGCCUGGUAGCGGGGGAUAACUAUUGGAAACGAUAGCUAAUACCGCAUAAUAUUAAUUAUUGCAUGAUAAUUGAUUGAAAGAUGCAAUUGCAUCACUACCAGAUGGACCUGCGUUGUAUUAGCUAGUAGGUGAGGUAACGGCUCACCUAGGCGACGAUACAUAGCCGAACUGAGGGGGUGAAAGGCCACACUGGGACUGAGACACGGCCCAGACUCCUACGGGAGGCAGCAGUAGGGAAUCUUCGGCAAUGGACGAAAGUCUGACCGAGCAACGCCGCGUGAGUGAAGAAGGGUUUCGGAUCGUAAAGCUCUGUUGUAAGAGAAGAACGGGUGUGAGAGUGGAAAGUUCACACUGUGACGGUAUCUUACCAGAAAGGGACGGAUAACUACGUG
RNAcentral lists this ribosomal RNA (505 nucleotides) under uncultured bacterium. RNAcentral's name for it is "partial 16S ribosomal RNA". It matches the Rfam family "Bacterial small subunit ribosomal RNA", at positions 28 to 507 of the family's 1533-position model. The record is from RNAcentral.